RNAcentral lists this long non-coding RNA (229 nucleotides) under Erythranthe guttata (spotted monkey flower). RNAcentral's name for it is "long non-coding RNA (EGUT_LNC001267)". The record is from RNAcentral. Lineage: Eukaryota; Viridiplantae; Streptophyta; Magnoliopsida; Lamiales; Phrymaceae.
UUUGGUGUGUUUUUACGAUAAUUGGUGCUUAAUAUGGUUAUUAUUUGUAUUUUAGGUGCAAAUUGAAGAAUUGGCAACUUUUGGGGUGAAAACUGCAAAUUCAGAGAAAAAGUGGGCCAAAAGUGAAAAAAUCAGAUUUCUGAAGAAUUAAAAGACCGCACGGCCGUGCGGAUUUUAGUUCAAAAUCUCACACGGCCGUCCGGGUGGACGUGAAGGCGCAGUGAAGGAA